This is a long non-coding RNA of Carassius gibelio (silver crucian carp), 531 nucleotides long. RefSeq lists it as uncharacterized. The record is from RefSeq and is a predicted model, not a curated record. NCBI's taxonomy places the organism in Eukaryota, Metazoa, Chordata, Actinopteri, Cypriniformes, Cyprinidae. The transcript is spliced from 2 exons.
CUGGCUAUGGAUUGGAAUGACUCCUGUGAUGUUUUAUGUUGUUAAUUGUUUUGUUGCCCACAAAAACAUUAUGUUUGAUAAAACGAGCCUUGAUUAACGUGAGCUUUUUAUUUCCAUGUUGUUUGAUUUCUUGCCAUUAAAUUAUGAAUCAAGUUGAAAUGAAUACAGAUUAGGAGGAGGUACUGCAUAAAAUGAAAGACCCAACACAAGAAGUUUCUGACUUGCCAUGACAGAAGGCUAUGAAAGAGGAAAAGUGCCGCGGGACAACUGAUCUGUGCCCAGGCAUGAUUGGAAAUGAACAGCAGAAGAUGUCAUCCAGCAGCAGCCCACAUCUCCUGAGGGUGAGAGAGACACUACAAAGAAGAGCAACCUGAGUUUACAGUGUUAAAAAAGAACAAAAAAACAAUAACAAAAAGAAAACUUUACUCUCUCUCUCUCUCUAUAUAUAACACUGUUAACCAAAUACAUUAAAAUAAAUGUUCCAAAAGCUGGUUUUGCAAUGAUGCAAUAAAAUAACCAUUUUAAAGCCAA